RNAcentral lists this ribosomal RNA (245 nucleotides) under uncultured bacterium. RNAcentral describes it as "partial 16S ribosomal RNA". It matches the Rfam family "Bacterial small subunit ribosomal RNA", at positions 524 to 768 of the family's 1533-position model. The record is from RNAcentral.
GACGUAGGGGGCCAGCGUUGUUCGGAAUUACUGGGUGUAAAGGGUUCGUAGGCGGUGCGGCAAGUUGGGAGUGAAAUCUCUGGGCUUAACCCAGAGGCUGCUUCCAAAACUGCCGUGCUUGAGUGUGGGAGAGGCGCGUGGAAUUGCAGGUGUAGCGGUGAAAUGCGUAGAUAUCUGCAGGAACACCCGUGGCGAAAGCGGCGCGCUGGACCACAACUGACGCUGAUGCACGAAAGCUAGGGAAG